CAAUAGCGUAUAUUAAAGUUGUUGCGGUUAAAAAGCUCGUAGUUGGAUUUCUGCUGAGAACGACCGGUCCGCCCUUUGGGUGUGUAUCUGGCUCUUUCUUGGCAUCUUCUUGGUGAACGUUGCUGCACUUGACUGUGUGGAGCGCUACCCAGGACUUUUACUUUGAGGAAAUUAGAGUGUUUCAAGCAGGCAUACGCCUUGAAUACAUUAGCAUGGAAUAAUAAGAUAGGACCUCGGUUCUAUUUUGUUGGUUUCUAGAGCUGAGGUGAGUAUUAAUGGGGAUUGUUGGGGGCAUCCGAAUUUAGCCGUCAGAGGUGAAAUUCUUGGAUCUGCUAAAGACGGACAACUGCGAAANCGNNNGCCCAGGAUGUUUUCAUNGA
Molecule: ribosomal RNA, 380 nt
Filed under: uncultured eukaryote
Lineage: Eukaryota
Description: partial 18S ribosomal RNA
Rfam family: Eukaryotic small subunit ribosomal RNA
Source: RNAcentral